UACGUAGGGACCAAGCGUUGUUCGGAUUUACUGGGCGUAAAGGGCGCGUAGGCGGCAAUUCAAGUCAUCUGUGAAAUCUCCGGGCUUAACUCGGAACGGUCAGAUGAUACUGCUUUGCUAGAGUGCGGAAGGGGCAAUCGGAAUUCUCGGUGUAGCGGUGAAAUGCGUAGAUAUCGUGAGGAAGACCAGUGGCGAAGGCGGGUCUCUGGACAGUUCCUGACGCUGAGGCGCGAAGGCCAGGGGAGCAAACGGG
Molecule: ribosomal RNA, 253 nt
Filed under: uncultured bacterium
Lineage: Bacteria
Description: partial 16S ribosomal RNA
Rfam family: Bacterial small subunit ribosomal RNA
Source: RNAcentral